UUGAUCCUGGCUCAGGAUGAACGCUGGCGGUCUGCUUAACACAUGCAAGUCGAACGGAACCUUCGGGUUUAGUGGCGGACGGGUGAGUAAAGCGUGAGAAUCUGCCUCCAGGUCGGGGACAACAGCGGGAAACUGCUGCUAAUCCCGGAUGAGCCUAAGGGUAAAAGAUUUAUUGCCUGGAGAGGAGCUCGCGUCCGAUUAGCUAGUUGGUGAGGUAAGAGCUUACCAAGGCAACGAUCGGUAGCUGGUCUGAGAGGACGAUCAGCCACACUGGGACUGAGACACGGCCCAGACUCCUACGGGAGGCAGCAGUGGGGAAUUUUCCGCAAUGGGCGAAAGCCUGACGGAGCAAGACCGCGUGCGGGAGGAAGGCCCUUGGGUCGUAAACCGCUUUUCUUAGGGAAGAAGCUCUGACGGUACCUAAGGAAUCAGCCUCGGCUAACUCCGUGCCAGCAGCCGCGGUAAUACGGAGGAGGCAAGCGUUAUCCGGAAUUAUUGGGCGUAAAGCGUCCGCAGGCGGCUUACCAAGACUGCUGUCAAAUACCAGAGCUCAACUCUGGGUCGGCGGUGGAAACUGGCAAGCUAGAGUACAGUAGGGGUAGAGGGAAUUCCCAGUGUAGCGGUGAAAUGCGUAGAGAUUGGGAAGAACACCGGUGGCGAAAAGCCGCUCUACUGGGCUGUAACUGACGCUGAGGGACGAAAGCUAGGGUAAGCGAAAAGGGAUUAGAUACCCCCUGUAGUCUUAGCUGUAAACGAUGGAGACUAG
Molecule: ribosomal RNA, 766 nt
Filed under: uncultured organism
Description: bacterial SSU rRNA
Rfam family: Bacterial small subunit ribosomal RNA
Source: RNAcentral